This 308-nucleotide ribosomal RNA is filed under the name uncultured bacterium. RNAcentral's name for it is "partial 16S ribosomal RNA". It matches the Rfam family "Bacterial small subunit ribosomal RNA", at positions 505 to 807 of the family's 1533-position model. The record is from RNAcentral.
GAGACAGCAGCCGCCGCGGUAAUGCGGAGGGGGCUAGCGUUGUUCGGAAUUACUGGGCGUAAAGCGCACGUAGGCGGCUUGGUAAGUUAGAGGUGAAAGCCUGGAGCUCAACUCCAGAAUUGCCUUUAAGACUGCCGAGCUAGCAGGUGAGAGAGGUAAGUGGAAUUCCGAGUGUAGAGGUGAAAUUCGUAGAUAUUCGGGAGAACACCAGUGGCGAAGGCGGCUUACUGGCUCAUACUGGACGCUGAGGUGCGAAAGCGUGGGGAGCAAACAGGAUUAGAUACCCCCGUAGUCCCUGUCUCUUAUAC